GUGGAGCGCCAGAUCCUGGAUUUUUCCCCCUGCGCCCUGGGCUCCCGGGCCUGCGCUGUUGGAAUCCAGCUCCCGGGCACGCAGCUCCCC
This 90-nucleotide microRNA precursor is filed under the name Canis lupus familiaris (dog). RNAcentral describes it as "mir-8799 microRNA precursor family". It matches the Rfam family "mir-8799 microRNA precursor family". The record is from Rfam by way of RNAcentral. Lineage: Eukaryota; Metazoa; Chordata; Mammalia; Carnivora; Canidae.